GAUGAACGCUGGCGGCGUGCCUAAUACAUGCAAGUCGAGCGAACAGACGAGGAGCUUGCUCCUCUGACGUUAGCGGCGGACGGGUGAGUAACACGUGGAUAACCUACCUAUAAGACUGGGAUAACUUCGGGAAACCGGAGCUAAUACCGGAUAAUAUAUUGAACCGCAUGGUUCAAUAGUGAAAGACGGUUUUGCUGUCACUUAUAGAUGGAUCCGCGCCGCAUUAGCUAGUUGGUAAGGUAACGGCUUACCAAGGCAACGAUGCGUAGCCGACCUGAGAGGGUGAUCGGCCACACUGGAACUGAGACGCGGUCCAGACUCCUACGGGAGGCAGAAGUAGGGAAUCUUCCGCAAUGGGCGAAAGCCUGACGGAGCAACGCCGCGUGAGUGAUGAAGGUCUUCGGAUCGUAAAACUCUGUUAUUAGGGAAGAACAAAUGUGUAAGUAACUAUGCACGUCUUGACGGUACCUAAUCAGAAAGCCACGGCUAACUACGUG
Molecule: ribosomal RNA, 497 nt
Filed under: uncultured bacterium
Lineage: Bacteria
Description: partial 16S ribosomal RNA
Rfam family: Bacterial small subunit ribosomal RNA
Source: RNAcentral